GGAUAACCUGCCCUUGAGACGGGGAUAAACCCGGGAAACUGGGUAUAAUACCCGAUAGAUCUCGGCUGCUGGAAUGCACCGAGUUCUAAAGCUCCGGCGCUCAAGGAUGGAUCUGCGGCCUAUCAGGUAGUAGUGGGUGUAGCGUACCUACUAGCCUACGACGGGUACGGGUUGUGAGAGCAAGAGCCCGGAGAUGGAUUCUGAGACACGAAUCCAGGCCCUACGGGGUGCAGCAGGCGCGAAAACUUUACAAUGCUGGAAACAGCGAUAAGGGGACCUCGAGUGCCAGGUUACAAAUCUGGCUGUCGUGAUGCCUAAAAAGCAUUGCAUAGCAAGGGCCGGGCAAGACCGGUGCCAGCCGCCGCGGUAACACCGGCGGCUCGAGUGGUAACCGUUAUUAUUGGGUCUAAAGGGUCUGUAGCCGGCCGGAUAAGUCUCUUGGGAAAUCUGGCAGCUUAACUGUCAGGCUUUCAGGAGAUACUGUCUGGCUCGAGGCCGGGAGAGGUGAGAGGUACUUCAGGGGUAGGGGUGAAAUCUUGUAAUCCUUGAAGGACCACCAGUGGCGAAGGCGUCUCACCAGAACGGACCUGACGGCAAGGGACGAAAGCUAGGGGCACGAACCGGAUUAGAUACCCGGGUAGUCCUAGCCGUAAACGAUACUCGCUAGGUGUCGGCCACGGUGCGACCGUUGUCGGUGCCGUAGGGAAGCCGUGAAGCGAGCCACCUGGGAAGUACGGCCGCAAGGCUGAAACUUAAAGGAAUUGGCGGGGGAGCACCACAACGGGUGGAGCUUGCGGUUUAAUUGGAUUCAACGCCGGAAAUCUUACCGGGACCGACAGCAAUAUGAAGGCCAGGCUGAAGACUUUGCCGGAUUAGCUGAGAGUG
Molecule: ribosomal RNA, 885 nt
Filed under: uncultured archaeon
Lineage: Archaea
Description: bacterial SSU rRNA
Rfam family: Archaeal small subunit ribosomal RNA
Source: RNAcentral